GACGAACCGUACAAACGUUAUUCGGAAUCACUGGGCUUAAAGGGUGCGUAGGCGGCGGCGCAAGUUGGGUGUGAAAUCCCUCGGCUCAACCGAGGAACUGCGCUCAAAACUGCGUCGCUUGAGGGAGAUAGAGGUGAGUGGAACUUAGGGUGGAGCGGUGAAAUGCGUUGAUAUCCUAAGGAACACCAGUGGCGAAAGCGACUCACUGGGUCUCUUCUGACGCUGAGGCACGAAAGCUAGGGUAGCGAAC
This 250-nucleotide ribosomal RNA is filed under the name uncultured bacterium. RNAcentral's name for it is "partial 16S ribosomal RNA". It matches the Rfam family "Bacterial small subunit ribosomal RNA", at positions 524 to 773 of the family's 1533-position model. The record is from RNAcentral.